CGUUUUUUCCCCUCUGGACCCCUUGCAUUUGACUAGGAGGGUUACAAACCGCGUCUGUAACGGCAUUUCCAUCACCAGCUUGUCGUUCCACGAAGGGUAGCUGCCUCCUUCUCCGUCGACCUUGCUCGCCUUGUUGUUGAAAGGGUCGACCGAAACGACGACGUAGGCGUUCUUUUUCACCGGUUUGUUGUCGAUUCUCAGGUCUUCUGCUGAUAAAACCGUGAUCUCUAGAGUGCGAGACUUGGUCUCCAUUAAAUUAAUUAAACCAAAGAAGAAUCAAAGAAGGUUUCUAAGAAAUUUUUGGGUUUUUAAUUAAAAUUUUAGAGGCUAUGGCUUAUGAGAAGAAAGGCUCCUAAGGGAUAUAUAUAUACAUAAUACACACACAUAUAGGAAGUUAAUAUGAAAGGAAGAAGAAAGAGGGAGGGUGCUUCAGGUUAAGACUUGAAUAUUUUACACCCAAGACUAUUGAAUAUAAUAAAGGAUUAAUUUCAUCAUAAAUCCUCAAACUAUACGUCAGAUUUUAAACUGGUUCUUGAAUUUAAAAACGAAUGAGCUUAACCUAGCUCUAAACUUAAGCACUAAAUGCUAGCUCGAAUUUAACAUAUAGAUCAAAUUUUAAUCUAGUAAAUUUUAAUGGAACUAGUUUUCUUUAAUCAAAUUCAAAAGUUAUAGACUUAUAGUAGGUAGACAUGUAAUUGAAAUUAGAAUAAUAACAAAAAUGUCCUUAAUGCUUACACUUUUUUGACAAAUUAGCACCUCUUCUUCUUCUUUUUCUUUGAGUAGUUUUGCCUUCAUCAUUUCAAUUUCAUGACAAAUUUGUUUGAUUUUUAGCAAAAUUAAUAAUAGUGCCUACGUGGCAUAAUUGUGUGUCAAUAUUGAAUUGAUAUAGUUUAAACGAUGUUGGUUUUUUUUAUACAAUGUCUAGAACUACUCAUAACUCCUCAUCAACACUUAAAUAGAAAGAUAAAUAUACUUUAAUGCACUUGAAUCCACAUCCCCUUACACCGACAACAAUACCAAUAUUAGCCGAGCUAAAACAAUUUUGUUUUAAAUGAUAAAAAUUGUAGAUCCGAAUAUCUAACCUAGAAUCAGAAAGGGUAAAAAUUGAUAUAAACUCUAAUAUUCUAAGUACAAAUACUCAAUACCCCCAGGACUCUAGUUUUUUUUUUUUUAAUUUCAUAUAUAAAACAACAUCAUUUUAACCAUGGAAAUUAAAAAUUUACACAGUUUCAUGGGACAUCAACCCAGUACAUUAUUAAAAUGUUUUAAAAUUUAGGACUAAUUUGAAUUUGCAUCAUGGUUAACGGGUGCUGCGUGUCAAAGUGCGGUUAUUCAAUUUUGGCGUGUGCUGCGUUUUUAAUUUUCUACUAUAAAGUUUCUAGCGACGGCCGCCGUAAAAGCAAAAAUUUUAAUAUUUAAUUUAAAGGAAACUAUAUUAAUAAUCACCUGUAAAUUAUUUUUUGUCACCUAAUUAUGAAAAAUUACUGAAUGUUUACUUAACUAUUCGAAUUUUUCGUUUUUGGUCAAAAGUCGUUACAUUAUUAAUGGGAAUAUAACUUGUCACUUGUAGCUUUUAAAAUUGAGAUAAUAGCAACUUUAAUCAUUAGUAUUUAUAUAAUGUGUCAAUUUAGUCUUGAUUUUAAAAUUUUAACACUCAACAUUUAUAUAUUGUGUAAUUUGGUCAUUUUUGUAAUUCUACUUUUCUUUGUGAUAUUGAAGGUUAAUUUUAAAAGAAUAAGAAAAGAUGAAAAUUGUUAUCUUAAAAUUUUGAGUGUUUCUAUUUUUGGUAUAUUUUCAAUCAAAUUUAGCUUAUAAAUUUUUUUAGCUUUUUAGGUGAUAAGGUCACAAAGAAAAGUAAAACUACAAAAAAAAAGAGAUCAAAUUACACAAUGUAUAAAUAUUGAGGGUUAAAGUUGCUAUCUUUCCAUUUUUAAAAGUUGUCGUGUGACCAAAAAAAAAAACUUACUAAUAGUUGGAUAACACAAUGUAUAAAUGUUUGGGAAGUAAGAAGCCCCUUUGACAUCUCUUCAUCUGCAAAGAAUUCUCGGUGUGAAAACACAAAGACAGAGGGCUGAUCUUUGAAUGGGAAAAAGAGUGGAUCCGUAGGAUCCCAAAUGAAUUGGCUUAUCCGAAAAAAGCCUUAUUCUUUGGAAGAUCUAUCUCGUGCCUAGUACUGCAUGGUUCCACUCUUCAAGAAUGUCGAAUCAUUCUCUUGAAGCUCAUCCUUUUCAUCAUAAAUGAUCCGCUUGCCUCGAAAUGACCCGGCCUAAUAGGGAAAUCCCAAUUCAUUUGGCCUUUCGAUAUAAUCAAAUAGAAAGCCCCAAGGGCGCCAUAUCUUGUUCAUGGCCCGACCCGAAAAGUGGGAGAGUUUAGGCAACAAUAUAGGCCUGAAAAUGGGUUUGAGUACAAAAAUAAGACCCAUUUAAAAAAUAGGCUGGGCCUUGGGUAAGGUAUUUUUUGUCCGGGCUCGAUUUGAAUUCACAAAAGGAUAAAAAAAAUCUACUAUUUUUUUGUUGUUUUAAUGCCAUUUUCUUGUUGUUUUCUCCCUAUUUUGUUAUUAUGUUGCUACUAUUUUGUCAUUAUUGUUCAAAUAUUGUAUAACGUUUGUUUUAUUGUUAAUUUUGUUAUUAUUUUAGAGGCAUUUGUUUGUUAAGUUGCAUCUAUCUUAGUGUUAUUUAAGUAUACAUAUUUUUAAAUUUUUAUUUUUAAUUUGUUGAGAAAUAUUUGUUUUAAUUUUUUAGCAUUUCUAAUGUAUUUAUAUCUGGGUCAGGUCAGACUCGAGUUUUAGCAUUUUUAUCUGGGCCGUGCUUAGGUAAAAUUUUAGGCCCAUUUUUUGGGUUUGGGCCUAAAAUUUUAUCCAAACCUGGCCUGGCCCGCCCUAUGAACACCUCUAGGGCCAAAGUGUAAUUUUAUUUUUAUUAAUUUUAAAAUUUUAAAGAGUCUAAAUGAAUUUUUUUUUCAUUUUAAGGGAGACCCCUUCCAACCCCUAACUACUUAAUUAUCGAAAAAUAAAAUGUUAUUGCGAAUUAAAUGGCAAAAACCACUUAAUUAUCUUUAUGCUCACCAAAUCAAAAUACAUAAACUAUAUUUCAUAAUUUAUAUAAAUUAAUAGCAAUAUUUAACUAAAAUAAAUUUAAUGACAAACCGAGUCUAAAUCAUUGGUGCACAUAGUUUAUAUAUAGUCAUAUAUCUUUAAACUAGUUUAAUCUUGGCUUCUACAAUUACAACCUAUCAAUAUUAUAAUCAGAAUCCAAAACCUCAAAUCAAUUAACACAAAUUUUAAAUCAAUUAAACAUAAUUUGAUCAUAAAAAAGUUAAUAAUUAAAACUCACUUAAUUCGAAUAAAAAAUGGUCCAAAUAAAAAAAAAUGCUCGACUAAAUAGACUUAAACUUAAAAUAUUAGUAAAUUUUAAAAAAGCCUCUCGAUUUAAUUCGCACCGAAUUGAAUCUUAUAGUCAACUCAAAAAAAUUAAUUAAACCCUUCCAUUUUUUAUUACAUUGGAUGACAAUCCAUGAUUUAACCUUUCAAAUUUGAAUUAAGAGAAUUAAUUGAUUUUUUUUUAUUUUAUUUGAUUGGAUUAAACAAAAUUGUUGGAAUAUGUUUGUGUACUUUUUGUACAACUUUUGCAAUUACUUCAAUUGAAUCACUACAAAUAUCAAUCAUUUAAUACAACGAAUUAGAUGGAUAACCAGUCCAUAUUGGAAUCCCAGUAACCACACCAUAAUCUCUUCGUCCAUCAAUGGGAAUUCCCAGCCCUAUCGCCGCCGCAUUACCACCACCACCAGCAGCCUGUGAAGAACAAUUCUGCAAAGGCUCUUUCACUCUCAACGAAACAUUAAUAAUCCCAUUCUUCAAUCCCUUGGGAUCCCUUAACCGGUAACUUAAGAACUGCAAACAAGCCGCCGGCGAAUACCCUCCGACGAAAUCCGUCACCGGUAUCCUUGCUAACCCCACCGUUUUUUCCCCUCUGGACCCCUUGCAUUUGACUAGGAGGGUUACAAACCGCGUCUGUGACGGUAUUUCCACCACCAGCUUGUCGUUCCACGAAGGAUAGCUACCUCCUUCUCCGUCGACCUUGGUCGCCUUGUUGUUGAAAGGGUCGACAGAAACGACGACGUAGGCGUUCUUUUUCACCGGUUUGUUGUCGAUUCUCAGGUCUUCUGCUGAUAAAACUGUGAUCUCUAGAGUUCGAGACUUGGUCUCCAUUGAUAAUGAAGAUUGAAAAUAAAAAGGUUUCUAAGUAUUGGGUUUUAUUGGAAAUUAUGAGAGGCUAUGGCUGAU
This 4282-nucleotide long non-coding RNA is filed under the name Gossypium raimondii (Peruvian cotton). Its description in RNAcentral is "long non-coding RNA (GRAI_LNC006521)". Lineage: Eukaryota; Viridiplantae; Streptophyta; Magnoliopsida; Malvales; Malvaceae. The record is from RNAcentral.